Musa acuminata AAA Group (dessert banana) is the source of this 1253-nucleotide long non-coding RNA. RefSeq lists it as uncharacterized. The transcript has 3 exons. The record is from RefSeq and is a predicted model, not a curated record. Lineage: Eukaryota; Viridiplantae; Streptophyta; Magnoliopsida; Zingiberales; Musaceae.
GUGCACGAGAAUUAGAUUCCUGUUUUUUGUGUAGGUUUCAUUCAUCAAUGUAGCUCCUCCAUCUCCUCCCAUUCCCUCACUUGUGUGGAUUCUGAAGGUUUGGCUCUCUGUUCUUGGUGUCCUCUGCGUUAGCACGCAUGUUAUUGUGGUUUUUUUUCCUUCUUUUUUUUCUGAAACUUUGAUUCUUUCUGCGGUCCGGAAUGCGGAGCCCCCGAUCGUGCCGCCCGCGGUGAGCGGCGGAUGAUGGCGCCGCCGUGCUGCUGCGCUAUGCAGUCCGCCAGGAGGAGGGAGCCAGUGCCGCUGUGGGAGAGAAGGAAGCGUCGGUGACAGCGGCAAGGCCUCGCCGCCGGAGAUCAUGGAUAGGGUUAUGGAGAUGUUGGUGGAGCAGAGGAUGUCGCAGUGAUAAAGAGUAUGAGAUGCUAACGGGACGACCAUUUAGCAUGCUCAGCCGAGACAUAGAGAAUCCAUGAUGCGGUGGAGAAACAUUACAGCAUCCACAUUGAGCACAUGUUCCCGGAUGCCGCAGAGGUGCAGGCCAUCCUCGUUCGACAAAGAUGGGCACCAGGAGUCGUGCAGAGCCAGGAAGGAUGUUGAAAGGUACCUGUUCAUGCUUGGAUCACCAAACAGAGGAGGAAGGAUCAAUCUCUUGUUCCCAGCGAUUGUUAUUCAGGUUGAUUAUGUUUUUGGAGACGUCAAUGGUCUUCUUGGUAGCUUGAGAAAAUGGAACCCGGUCGCGAAUGUGGAUGGAUGGCAAGGAGCUGCAUCGUCUAACAGUGCCUUACCACCAAGUGGCCGAUGUGACUUUACAAUCACGUCACAGGCGAUGGAAGCCUCGUAUAUGGGGGGGGGGGGGGGGAGUCGGUUGGCCAACGAGUUGGGGAAGCUCUGCGCUCAUGUUGCGGUAGCCAUUUGCGCAGAAAGAACUUGUCGUCUUCUUCCACAAGAACACAUCUCAGCACAUCAAAUGUCCCUCUGAAAGGUGGGAUGUCGAUUCGCCUACUGGCAUUUGUCGAUGCUCUUCGAUGAUGUUAGACCAUGAUCAUCUGGAUGUCGGAUGAUUACAUCGUAUCAUCAAACCCUGUGGCUUGGUUAGCUUCUGCUACUGAGUUCCCCCUUUCUACUUCACUUCUCUCGGUUUCCUUCGAAUGGCUUUGGAGGUCGUACAUGGAGAAGGAUAUAUUCUACUGUAUAGUGAAUCAAACUGACGUCUGUCAUCGUAUUUUUAAGAGUGAUCUUAAUUUUGGCUUCCUGAA